CUCGAAGAGUAGGGCGGGACACGUGGUAUCCUGUCUGAAUAUGGGGGGACCAUCCUCCAAGGCUAAAUACUCCUGACUGACCGAUAGUGAACCAGUACCGUGAGGGAAAGGCGAAAAGAACCCCGGCGAGGGGAGUGAAAAAGAACCUGAAACCGUGUACGUACAAGCAGUGGGAGCACCUUCGGGUGUGACUGCGUACCUUUUGUAUAAUGGGUCAGCGACUUAUAUUCUGUAGCAAGGUUAACCGUAUAGGGGAGCCGCAGGGAAACCGAGUCUUAACUGGGCGUUAAGUUGCAGGGUAUAGACCCGAAACCCGGUGAUCUAGCCAUGGGCAGGUUGAAGGUUGGGUAACACUAACUGGAGGACCGAACCGACUAAUGUUGAAAAAUUAGCGGAUGACUUGUGGCUGGGGGUGAAAGGCCAAUCAAACCGGGAGAUAGCUGGUUCUCCCCGAAAGCUAUUUAGGUAGCGCCUCGUGAACUCAUCUUCGGGGGUAGAGCACUGUUUCGGCUAGGGGGUCAUCCCGACUUACCAACCCGAUGCAAACUACGAAUACCGAAGAAUGUUAUCACGGGAGACACACGGCGGGUGCUAACGUCCGUCGUGAAGAGGGAAACAACCCAGACCGCCAGCUAAGGUCCCAAAGUCAUGGUUAAGUGGGAAACGAUGUGGGAAGGCACAGACAGCCAGGAUGUUGGCUUAGAAGCAGCCAUCAUUUAAAGAAAGCGUAAUAGCUCACUGGUCGAGUCGGCCUGCGCGGAAGAUGUAACGGGGCUAAACCAUGCACCGAAGCUGCGGCAGCGACGCUCAGGCGUUGUUGGGUAGGGGAGCGUUCUGUAAGCCUGCGAAGGUGGCCUGUGAGGGCUGCUGGAGGUAUCAGAAGUGCGAAUGCUGACAUAAGUAACGAUAAAGCGGGUGAAAAGCCCGCUCGCCGGAAGACCAAGGGUUCCUGUCCAACGUUAAUCGGGGCAGGGUGAGUCGACCCCUAAGGCGAGGCCGAAAGGCGUAGUCGAUGGGAAACAGGUUAAUAUUCCUGUACUUGGUGUUACUGCGAAGGGGGGACGGAGAAGGCUAUGUUAGCCGGGCGACGGUUGUCCCGGUUUAAGCAUGUAGGCUGGUUAUCCAGGCAAAUCCGGAUAAUCAAGGCUGAGGUGUGAUGACGAGGCACUACGGUGCUGAAGUAACAAAUGCCCUGCUUCCAGGAAAAGCCUCUAAGCAUCAGGUAACAUCAAAUCGUACCCCAAACCGACACAGGUGGUCAGGUAGAGAAUACCAAGGCGCUUGAGAGAACUCGGGUGAAGGAACUAGGCAAAAUGGUGCCGUAACUUCGGGAGAAGGCACGCUGGUGUGUAGGUGAAGUCCCUGCGGAUGGAGCUGAGACCAGUCGAAGAUACCAGCUGGCUGCAACUGUUUAUUAAAAACACAGCACUGUGCAAACACGAAAGUGGACGUAUACGGUGUGACGCCUGCCCGGUGCCGGAAGGUUAAUUGAUGGGGUUAUCCGUAAGGAGAAGCUCUUGAUCGAAGCCCCGGUAAACGGCGGCCGUAACUAUAACGGUCCUAAGGUAGCGAAAUUCCUUGUCGGGUAAGUUCCGACCUGCACGAAUGGCGUAAUGAUGGCCAGGCUGUCUCCACCCGAGACUCAGUGAAAUUGAACUCGCUGUGAAGAUGCAGUGUACCCGCGGCAAGACGGAAAGACCCCGUGAACCUUUACUAUAGCUUGACACUGAACAUUGAGCCUUGAUGUGUAGGAUAGGUGGGAGGCUUUGAAGCGUGGACGCCAGUCUGCGUGGAGCCAACCUUGAAAUACCACCCUUUAAUGUUUGAUGUUCUAACGUNNNNNNNNNNNNNNNNNNNCGGGGUUGCGGACAGUGUCUGGUGGGUAGUUUGACUGGGGCGGUCUCCUCCCAAAGCGUAACGGAGGAGCACGAAGGUUAGCUAAUCCUGGUCGGACAUCAGGAGGUUAGUGCAAUGGCAUAAGCUAGCUUGACUGCGAGCGUGACGGCGCGAGCAGGUGCGAAAGCAGGUCAUAGUGAUCCGGUGGUUCUGAAUGGAAGGGCCAUCGCUCAACGGAUAAAAGGUACUCCGGGGAUAACAGGCUGAUACCGCCCAAGAGUUCAUAUCGACGGCGGUGUUUGGCACCUCGAUGUCGGCUCAUCACAUCCUGGGGCUGAAGUAGGUCCCAAGGGUAUGGCUGUUCGCCAUUUAAAGUGGUACGCGAGCUGGGUUUAGAACGUCGUGAGACAGUUCGGUCCCUAUCUGCCGUGGGCGCUGGAGAAUUGAGGGGGGCUGCUCCUAGUACGAGAGGACCGGAGUGGACGCAUCACUGGUGUUCGGGUUGUCAUGCCAAUGGCACUGCCCGGUAGCUAAAUGCGGAAGAGAUAAGUGCUGAAAGCAUCUAAGCACGAAACUUGCCCCGAGAUGAGUUCUCCCUGAGACUUUAAGUCUCCUGAAGGAACGUUGAAGACGACGACGUUGAUAGGCCGGGUGUGUAAGCGCAGCGAUGCGUUGAGCUAACCGGUACUAAUGAACCGUGAGGCUUAACCUU
Molecule: ribosomal RNA, 2548 nt
Filed under: Klebsiella quasipneumoniae
Lineage: Bacteria; Pseudomonadati; Pseudomonadota; Gammaproteobacteria; Enterobacterales; Enterobacteriaceae
Description: 23S ribosomal RNA
Rfam family: Bacterial large subunit ribosomal RNA
Source: RNAcentral